GCAUAUCAAUAAGCGGAGGAAAAGAAACCAACAGGGAUUGCCUCAGUAACGGCGAGUGAAGCGGCAAGAGCUCAACUUUGGAAUCGCUGCGGCGAGUUGUAGUCUGGAGGCGGUUGGACCGGAUGGCGUGCGUGGCGGCCAAGUCCUCUGGAACGAGGCGCCAGUGAGGGUGAGAGCCCCGUGGCCGGCUUUGCGCAGACAUCCCCCUGACCUGCCGACGAGUCGAGUUGUUUGGGAAUGCAGCUCUAAGUGGGUGGUAAAUUCCAUCUAAAGCUAAAUACCGGCGAGAGACCGAUAGCGAACAAGUACAGUAAUGGAAAGAUGAAAAGCACUUUGAAAAGAGAGUGAAACAGUACGUGAAAUUGUUGAAAGGGAAGGGCUUGCAGGUACUUAUUGUCAGCAUCGGGUGGAGCAGAUUUACAAGGAGGAGCUGAUGUAGCAACCGCUUCCGGCGGUUGCGUUAUACAACUCUUUGGAUGAAUCUCGUUUCGCCCGAGGACCGCCUUUUGAUGAAG
This 515-nucleotide ribosomal RNA is filed under the name Candidozyma khanbhai. RNAcentral describes it as "Candida sp. FH-2021a partial large subunit ribosomal RNA". It matches the Rfam family "Eukaryotic large subunit ribosomal RNA", at positions 38 to 553 of the family's 3401-position model. The record is from RNAcentral. Lineage: Eukaryota; Fungi; Ascomycota; Pichiomycetes; Serinales; Metschnikowiaceae.